This 443-nucleotide ribosomal RNA is filed under the name uncultured bacterium. RNAcentral describes it as "partial 16S ribosomal RNA". It matches the Rfam family "Bacterial small subunit ribosomal RNA", at positions 338 to 795 of the family's 1533-position model. The record is from RNAcentral.
CCUACGGGUGGCUGCAGUGGGGAAUAUUGGGCAAUGGGCGCAAGCCUGACCCAGCAACGCCGCGUGAAGGAAGAAGGCCUUCGGGUUGUAAACUUCUUUUCUCAGGGACGAAGCAAGUGACGGUACCUGAGGAAUAAGCCACGGCUAACUACGUGCCAGCAGCCGCGGUAAUACGUAGGUGGCAAGCGUUAUCCGGAUUUACUGGGUGUAAAGGGUGUGUAGGCGGGGACGCAAGUCAGAUGUGAAAACCACGGGCUCAACCUGUGGCCUGCAUUUGAAACUGUGGGGCUUGAGUGCUGGAGAGGCAGACGGAAUUCGUAGUGUAGCGGUGAAAUGCGUAGAUAUUAGGAGGAACACCAGUGGCGAAGGCGGUCUGCUGGACUGCAACUGACGCUGAGGCACGAAAGCGUGGUGAGCAAACAGGAUUAGAUACCCGUGUAGUC